UGAAGAUAUAUUGUCACCCAACCUGUAACUGACACAGGACUAAUAUCCAGAAUAUAUAAAGAACUCUUAGGAAAACAAAAUAUUUUUAUUAGCCCUUAACAGAAGAAAAACCCAAAUGGCAAAUAAAUACAUGAAAAUGAACAUACUGUCCACCAGAUUGGCUAAUUGGAGAAGGUAUGCAUAAAUGAGCUCCCAUAUAUUGCUGGUAAAAACCACUAUGGAAAACUUUGGCAUUAGUUAGUGCAACUGACAAUAUACAUAUUCCUAUAUCCAGCCAUUCUAAAUCUUAAACAUAAAUAGACAAGUUGACAGCAGUAUAUUCAUAAAAAGAAAUACAAGGAGAAAAGAUACCUUUAUAUGGAAAAAACAUUGGUAAAAACAUUAAAGAAUCAGACAAAAGGAUAUGUAACAUACGUUUCUGUUUAUAGUUCCCAAACAGGCAAGAUUAUUAUAUUUUGUUUAGGGAUGUAUACAUAACUGUUAAAGUAUAAAGCAAAGCAAAGACAUCAUUGCCCACAAAGUUAAAAUAAUGGUCAGCUUUGGGAAGGGAGGGCGAGGGAUAUCAGUGAUUUGGUAAGCAGGGAACUUACUAAGUUUUACAAAUGUUCUGUUUUUUGAGUUGCAUUAUGAUUACAUGUGUCUGUUGUAAAAUAACUUGUUAUGCUGUACAUUUUAUUUUUGCACUGUGCUUGGACUAUACAGCAGCAAGAAGAAUAGGCAGCUACAUGUCUUCAUUCCCCAUGGAAAGAUUACAAGUAGAGACUGACUAAAGAAAACUUUAUGGGAACUCUGAAAGGCAAAGGUCUACAAGAACCAAGCUAAUGCCCAAUCAAGGAAAAGUCACAUUCAAAAUGCAUUUGUUCCACUUUCUCUGUCAGAAAUAAGAUGGUUCCAGAUACUUGAUUCACCCAGAUGCUUUAAAGACUGUGGACCUAAGU
Molecule: long non-coding RNA, 938 nt
Filed under: Homo sapiens (human)
Lineage: Eukaryota; Metazoa; Chordata; Mammalia; Primates; Hominidae
Description: HSALNT0052647
Source: RNAcentral